This is a non-coding RNA of Phrynosoma platyrhinos (Desert horned lizard), 72 nucleotides long. The record is from the annotation of a GenBank genome assembly. NCBI's taxonomy places the organism in Eukaryota, Metazoa, Chordata, Lepidosauria, Squamata, Phrynosomatidae.
GCCAGCAUGGUGUAGUGGUCUGAGUGUAGGAUUAUGAUUCUGGAGACCAGGGUUCGAAUCCCUGCUCAGCCA